This 447-nucleotide ribosomal RNA is filed under the name uncultured bacterium. RNAcentral's name for it is "partial 16S ribosomal RNA". It matches the Rfam family "Bacterial small subunit ribosomal RNA", at positions 29 to 523 of the family's 1533-position model. The record is from RNAcentral.
AGCGAACGCUGGCGGCAGGCUUAACACAUGCAAGUCGAACGCCCCGCAAGGGGAGUGGCAGACGGGUGAGUAACACGUGGGAACGUACCCUUUGGUUCGGAAUAACUUGGGGAAACUCAAGCUAAUACCGGAUAAGCCCUUAUGGGGAAAGAUUUACUGCCGAAGGAUCGGCCCGUGUCUGAUUAGCUAGUUGGUGUGGUAAUGGCUGACCAAGGCGACGAUCAGUAGCUGGUCUGAGAGGAUGAUCAGCCACACUGGGACUGAGACACGGCCCAGACUCCUACGGGAGGCAGCAGUGGGGAAUAUUGGACAAGGGGGGCAACCCUGAUCCAGCCAUGCCGCGUGAGUGAUGAAGGCCUUAGGGUUGUAAAGCUCUUUUACCCGGGACGAUAAUGACUGUACCGGGAGAAUAAGCCCCGGCUAACUUCGUGCCAGCCGCCGCCGUAA